UCUUCCGUUUACGACACAUCAGGGAAGAGGCAUCUUCUGAGAACCUUCAGCAUCAUUCUCAUUCCCUACCCUCCUGUCCUUCAGAUGAAAUAUUCUGAGUUUUAUCCAUUUCUCUACAUGGAAUUUUGUCCCAGACUCUGGCAAUUCUGGUCUCUGGAUCCAUUUGAAGUACUUUUCUGAACCCACGGCUUCCACAUUAGAACCCAAGGCCACGAAGACUUCACCAGCCACGGACUAGAAAUAACUUCAAUAUGAGGAUAAAACAGCCAGAGGAGGGAAUUACAACCAAGAAAAGAGAAAAGGCUAAAAACGUCUUGAAGUGUUGGGCUGGAAUUGCAGACACAGCCUGCUCGCAGAUGAUUCUGGAAGAGACCCGAUAAUGGAUGUCAUUAAGAGAAGAAAUGGCUGCUCUCUUCUUAUUUGUUCAAGAACUCAUUUGAAUCACUCAUAUCCUGUGGAGAAGAGCAAACCUCAACCUUCAAAUCCGUCGAACUGCCGUACAACAAAAUCACACUUCCAGCCAACAAGGAGUCGCCUUUUCCCCUCCAGGUCCUCCGUGUCACAAGCGCAGCCACCGCCCGCCCCACACCUGCACACAGCACGCUACCGGAAGGGACCCAGGAGGUGAGGCAUGACAUGGUGGUGAGUUCCUGGUGUGUUCUCCAGGUUUCCAGAGGCCAGAAGGAAGGGCCCCUGCGUCCUUCGGUUCCACAGAUGUGCCUGGGACACUGGGACAUGUGAAUUCUCUACUCCGCGCAAUACACUUCGUGAAUACGGAAGGGGGCACGGGGGCAGACCUUCCAAAACUCAGAAACUGCCACCAAGAAACCUACCUGAAGGGAAUGGUAGAGGAAUUUCCCCAUGGGGAGAGGAAACGGGAGACGAAAACACGGAACUUCAGAAAGGAAAAAAAGAGCGUUGGAAUGGGUAAAAACAGCCGUAGAAAUACAACAGAAAUAUAAGUAGCCAAGUAAUAUAAGUAAAUGCAAUGAACUACCUUCUUCAUGAGUUUCACGAGUCAUUUUUGAGAGGUGGAAGCACACAUUACAGCACUCGGUAUUUGUGUAUGAAGAGGAGAGACUCAGGACGCAUAUUUAAACCAUGGGGAGAUCAAGGGAGUCAGGUGUCUCCACGUCUAUCCAAGUGCAAAAUGCUGAUACCAGUAACCUCUGUUAGUUCAACGAGGUCUUGAAACACCAAACACACUACAAAAAAUUAUUCAAAGUGAUAUACUCAAAACACCAUAAAUUAAGCAAAAUGGGAUCUCAAUCUUUCAUAUUUCUGAUCUCUUAAAGAUUUUUCAUUAAAAUACGUUGUUGAGAAGAAUGAGUGUGUUUGAUGCCUAGCAAACAAGAAAACCAGAGAAGACUGGCAGGGAGGGAGUGGAGACGGGGAGGAGAGAGACAGAGACAGAGACAGAGACAGUGACAGAGAGAGGGCAGACUUACUUUGUAUUUCAACACAGGGUUGAAAGAAAGAAGUAGGAUCAUAAAAACACCAUCGGAAGCAUCAAAGAGCUAAUGCGACUGUUUUCUGAAGCAGAUAAUGCAUAGGUUACCGGGGCAAGUGUCAAAAAUAAAUCUAUUUUAGAACUUU
Molecule: long non-coding RNA, 1596 nt
Organism: Mustela erminea (ermine)
Lineage: Eukaryota; Metazoa; Chordata; Mammalia; Carnivora; Mustelidae
Exons: 4
Source: RefSeq, a predicted model, not a curated record